Molecule: non-coding RNA, 381 nt
Organism: Cyprinodon tularosa
Lineage: Eukaryota; Metazoa; Chordata; Actinopteri; Cyprinodontiformes; Cyprinodontidae
Source: the annotation of a RefSeq genome assembly
AUGGCUGCUACAAUGAUCAGACCUCACCAGGUUAUGAUUGCUUUUCUCAUCCUGACAGUUAACUGGACAGGCACUGAUGGUCAAACACUGACAGAGUCUGAACCAGUGGUUAAAAGACCUGGAGAAUCCCAGAGGCUGACCUGCACAUAUUCUGGGUUCAGUAGCCACUACUGGAAUGCUUGGAUCAGACAGGCAGCUGGAAAAGGACUGGAGUGGGUCGCUACUAUCAGUGAUACCAGCAGAAGCAUCUACUACUCUGACUCAGUCAGAAACCGUUUCACCAUCUCCAGAGAGAACAGCAGAAAUGAGGUUUAUCUGCAGAUGAACAGUCUGACAGCUGGAGAUUCUGCUGUUUAUUACUGUGCUCGAGAGACACAGUGA